This 472-nucleotide ribosomal RNA is filed under the name uncultured bacterium. RNAcentral's name for it is "partial 16S ribosomal RNA". It matches the Rfam family "Bacterial small subunit ribosomal RNA", at positions 28 to 507 of the family's 1533-position model. The record is from RNAcentral.
GACGAACGCUGGCGGCGUGCUUAACACAUGCAAGUCGAACGCUGAAGCUUGGUGCUUGCCCUGGGUGGAUGAGUGGCGAACGGGUGAGUAAUACGUGAGUAACCUGCCCUUGACUCUGGGAUAAGCCUGGGAAACUGGGUCUAAUACUGGAUACGACAUGCCACUGCAUGGUGGUGUGUGGAAAGGGUUUUACUGGUUUUGGAUGGGCUCACGGCCUAUCAGCUUGUUGGUGGGGUAAUGGCCUUCCAAGGCGACGACGGGUAGCCGGCCUGAGAGGGUGACCGGCCACUCUGGGACUGAGACACGGCCCAGACUCCUACGGGAGGCAGCAGUGGGGAAUAUUGCACAAUGGGCGGAAGCCUGAUGCAGCGACGCCGCGUGAGGGAUGACGGCCUUCGGGUUGUAAACCUCUUUCAGCACGGAAGAAGCGAGAGUGACGGUACGUGCAGAAGAAGCGCCGGCUAACUACGUG